This 242-nucleotide unclassified non-coding RNA is filed under the name uncultured Phellodon. RNAcentral's name for it is "sequence contains ITS2". Lineage: Eukaryota; Fungi; Basidiomycota; Agaricomycetes; Thelephorales; Thelephoraceae. The record is from RNAcentral.
AAUUAUCAACUGCCUUGAUGGGCUUUUGCUCCCAGAAGGGUGAAGUUGGAUUUGGAGGAUGAUUUUGCUGGCGGCUCUUCGAUGAGCUUUGUCGGCUCCUCUGGAAUGCAUGAGCCUUCCUGUUCAUCGGUGAAGUGACUCUCCGAUGUGAUAACCAUCUCCGUCGGACGUAGUCGCGUUCGCUUUGGGCACGAAUGGAUCGCAAAACGCGGCUCGCAUCUUUCAGGAUGCGUCCUUGACAA